AUUGAACGCUGGCGGCAGGCCUAACACAUGCAAGUCGAGCGGUAGAGAGGAGCUUGCUCCUCUUGAGAGCGGCGGACGGGUGAGUAAUGCCUAGGAAUCUGCCUGGUAGUGGGGGAUAACGUUCGGAAACGGACGCUAAUACCGCAUACGUCCUACGGGAGAAAGCAGGGGACCUUCGGGCCUUGCGCUAUCAGAUGAGCCUAGGUCGGAUUAGCUAGUUGGUGAGGUAAUGGCUCACCAAGGCGACGAUCCGUAACUGGUCUGAGAGGAUGAUCAGUCACACUGGAACUGAGACACGGUCCAGACUCCUACGGGAGGCAGCAGUGGGGAAUAUUGGACAAUGGGCGAAAGCCUGAUCCAGCCAUGCCGCGUGUGUGAAGAAGGUCUUCGGAUUGUAAAGCACUUUAAGUUGGGAGGAAGGGCAGUAAAUUAAUACUUUGCUGUUUUGACGUUACCGACAGAAUAAGCACCGGCUAACUCUGUGCCAGCAGCCGCGGUAAUACAGAGGGUGCAAGCGUUAAUCGGAAUUACUGGGCGUAAAGCGCGCGUAGGUGGUUUGUUAAGUUGGAUGUGAAAUCCCCGGGCUCAACCUGGGAACUGCAUUCAAAACUGACUGACUAGAGUAUGGUAGAGGGUGGUGGAAUUUCCUGUGUAGCGGUGAAAUGCGUAGAUAUAGGAAGGAACACCAGUGGCGAAGGCGACCACCUGGACUAAUACUGACACUGAGGUGCGAAAGCGUGGGGAGCAAACAGG
Molecule: ribosomal RNA, 753 nt
Filed under: uncultured Pseudomonas sp.
Lineage: Bacteria; Pseudomonadati; Pseudomonadota; Gammaproteobacteria; Pseudomonadales; Pseudomonadaceae
Description: bacterial SSU rRNA
Rfam family: Bacterial small subunit ribosomal RNA
Source: RNAcentral